RNAcentral lists this long non-coding RNA (645 nucleotides) under Nicotiana tabacum (common tobacco). RNAcentral describes it as "long non-coding RNA (NTAB_LNC002931)". The record is from RNAcentral. Lineage: Eukaryota; Viridiplantae; Streptophyta; Magnoliopsida; Solanales; Solanaceae.
AAUGUUCAACUGACAUAACAUAGAUAGCAACAUGAAUAAUUUUGAAAUCAACAUUCAAGUGCUAAAAAUACUACAUAAAACUCCAAAAUCGGUAGUCUGAGCUACUAAGUAAAAUACAACUAAGUGUCAAAUAUAAAAGUAUUGUCUGGAACAAGAAAAGAGUAGAAUAGAUGGGAAGGAGCUCCAUAAGCUGCAAAUCCGAGAACAACAGCUCACAAGAAAGUCUCUGAUCGAGCUCCUAGGCUUCCUCCUAAGCACCCCGGGGCCAAUACCGCGAUCUACACAAAAACAAAAAUAUAGUUCGAGUAUAAAUGACAACGUAUAAUCAAUAAGUAUCAAGUUUAACCCAACAAUAGAGUGACAAAGUUUUUGACAAAAGAUACUCACUAUUCAAAACCUUUUUAAUCCAUAAAUAUGUAGAAAAAAAUAGUGGAUUAAAUAAUAUGGUACACAGUCAAAGAAACAUAGACUAAACAUAUUUUUCAGAUAAAAAUAAUCAAAGGCAUAAUUAAAGAACCAAUAUUCGCAUAUAAAAAUGAUAUGCAUUAACUAACAUAUAUAUGCAUGCUCCUACAUGAGUCUAAAAGUUCAUGCAUAAUAAAGACUCAAGCUUUACCUCAAUCGAUACCUCCCCGGUAUUCAAGA